UCGCGCACAAAUAAACAAACAGAAAUUGUGCGAACAUAACCUUCUCGCGGAUGUUUUGUUUCUUUUCUGUGCUGCUGUGAUUUUUGUUUAUAAAAUCGGGAGUGAAAUUUGUUACCGGUCCGGUCUUGUCCGCACGAGUGAACCGAGCACCAUCGGGGAUUCUUGACCACAUUUGGCCCAGAUCUCAGGCUAGGCCGAUUUUGGUCUGAUCCGGAAUCAGGAGGAGGAAACAACAAAGGACGGCUGCAGCUGAAUGCACAGCGUAGAAAUCUUCGUUAAGAUGAUUUUCCCCGGAGAGAAAACUGACACCAUCUGAUGGUGUCAUUGGCCAAAACAACACGACAGACAGCCAGCACCCGCGAAGAUUCCGGCAAGAACGUGUCCCCGUUCCUGUGCUCACCGGAAACGAAACCUGAGGCGCGUAUACGAAUGCGGUGAGAACACCACGAACGUGCCUAACAGCAUGUGUACCACGAAGCCUCAGCUUGACCCGCAGUUCUACAACAUCAUCGACUGCCUUGUGCGGUGGUAGGUUUCCGAGUGGAGCAAGUGCUCAAAACCCUGUGCAGGCGGCCUCAAGGAGCGUCGCGUCGAGUGCAAGCAAAUCAUGGCCCAGGAACACAAGGUCGAAUGGCCGACGUCAAUGUGCCCGAGCAACACACCUCCGGACAAGAAGCCCUGCAACGGCAAGGCGUGCGCCCCGGAAUACCAGA
Molecule: long non-coding RNA, 713 nt
Organism: Culex quinquefasciatus (southern house mosquito)
Lineage: Eukaryota; Metazoa; Arthropoda; Insecta; Diptera; Culicidae
Exons: 3
Source: RefSeq, a predicted model, not a curated record